GGUUCCUGUCCAACGUUAAUCGGGGCAGGGUGAGUCGACCCCUAAGGCGAGGCCGAAAGGCGUAGUCGAUGGGAAACAGGUUAAUAUUCCUGUACUUGGUGUUACUGCGAAGGGGGGACGGAGAAGGCUAUGUCAGCCGGGCGACGGUUGUCCCGGUUUAAGCAUGUAGGCGGAGGUUCCAGGUAAAUCCGGUACCUUAUUAACGCUGAGGUGUGAUGACGAGGCACUACGGUGCUGAAGUGAUAAAUGCCCUGCUUCCAGGAAAAGCCUCUAAGCAUCAGGUAACACGAAAUCGUACCCCAAACCGACACAGGUGGUCAGGUAGAGAAUACCAAGGCGCUUGAGAGAACUCGGGUGAAGGAACUAGGCAAAAUGGUGCCGUAACUUCGGGAGAAGGCACGCUGAUAUGUAGGUGAAGUCCCUGCGGACGGAGCUGAAAUCAGUCGAAGAUACCAGCUGGCUGCAACUGUUUAUUAAAAACACAGCACUGUGCAAACACGAAAGUGGACGUAUACGGUGUGACGCCUGCCCGGUGCCGGAAGGUUAAUUGAUGGGGUUAGCGGCAACGCGAAGCUCUUGAUCGAAGCCCCGGUAAACGGCGGCCGUAACUAUAACGGUCCUAAGGUAGCGAAAUUCCUUGUCGGGUAAGUUCCGACCUGCACGAAUGGCGUAAUGAUGGCCAGGCUGUCUCCACCCGAGACUCAGUGAAAUUGAACUCGCUGUGAAGAUGCAGUGUACCCGCGGCAAGACGGAAAGACCCCGUGAACCUUUACUAUAGCUUGACACUGAACACUGGUCCUUGAUGUGUAGGAUAGGUGGGAGGCUUUGAAGCGUGGACGCCAGUCUGCGUGGAGCCAACCUUGAAAUACCACCCUUUAAUGGCUGGUGUUCUAACGUAGACCCGUAAUCCGGGUUGCGGACAGUGUCUGGUGGGUAGUUUGACUGGGGCGGUCUCCUCCCAAAGAGUAACGGAGGAGCACGAAGGUUGGCUAAUCCUGGUCGGACAUCAGGAGGUUAGUGCAAUGGCAUAAGCCAGCUUGACUGCGAGCGUGACGGCGCGAGCAGGUGCGAAAGCAGGUCAUAGUGAUCCGGUGGUUCUGAAUGGAAGGGCCAUCGCUCAACGGAUAAAAGGUACUCCGGGGAUAACAGGCUGAUACCGCCCAAGAGUUCAUAUCGACGGCGGUGUUUGGCACCUCGAUGUCGGCUCAUCACAUCCUGGGGCUGAAGUAGGUCCCAAGGGUAUGGCUGUUCGCCAUUUAAAGUGGUACGCGAGCUGGGUUUAGAACGUCGUGAGACAGUUCGGUCCCUAUCUGCCGUGGGCGCUGGAGAAUUGAGGGGGGCUGCUCCUAGUACGAGAGGACCGGAGUGGACGCAUCACUGGUGUUCGGGUUGUCAUGCCAAUGGCACU
RNAcentral lists this ribosomal RNA (1408 nucleotides) under Enterobacter hormaechei. RNAcentral's name for it is "partial 23S ribosomal RNA". It matches the Rfam family "Bacterial large subunit ribosomal RNA", at positions 1350 to 2739 of the family's 2925-position model. Lineage: Bacteria; Pseudomonadati; Pseudomonadota; Gammaproteobacteria; Enterobacterales; Enterobacteriaceae. The record is from RNAcentral.